RNAcentral lists this ribosomal RNA (253 nucleotides) under uncultured bacterium. Its description in RNAcentral is "partial 16S ribosomal RNA". It matches the Rfam family "Bacterial small subunit ribosomal RNA", at positions 524 to 776 of the family's 1533-position model. The record is from RNAcentral.
UACGUAGGGUGCAAGCGUUGUCCGGAAUCAUUGGGCGUAAAGCGCGCGUAGGUGGUCAUGUAAGUCCGCUGUGAAAGUCAAAGGCUCAACCUUUGAAAGCCGGUGGAUACUGCAUGACUAGAGUACGGAAGAGGCGAGUGGAAUUCCUGGUGUAGCGGUGGAAUGCGCAGAUAUCAGGAGGAACACCAAUAGCGAAGGCAGCUCGCUGGGACGGUACUGACGCUGAGGCGCGAAAGCGUGGGGAGCGAACAGG